Molecule: ribosomal RNA, 455 nt
Filed under: uncultured bacterium
Lineage: Bacteria
Description: bacterial SSU rRNA
Rfam family: Bacterial small subunit ribosomal RNA
Source: RNAcentral
AACGAACGCUGGCGGCAGGCUUAACACAUGCAAGUCGAACGGGUGUAGCAAUACAUCAGUGGCAGACGGGUGAGUAACACGUGGGAACCUUCCUAGGGGUACGGAACAACUCAGGGAAACUUGAGCUAAUACCGUAUACGUCCGUAAGGAGAAAGAUUCAUCGCCCCUAGACGGGCCCGCGUCGGAUUAGGUAGUUGGUGGGGUAACGGCCUACCAAGCCUACGAUCCGUAGCUGAUCUGAGAGGAUGAUCAGCCACACUGGGACUGAGACACGGCCCAGACUCCUACGGGAGGCAGCAGUGGGGAAGUCUUGGACAAUGGGCGGCAAGCCUGAUCCAGCCAUGCCGCGUGACGUGAAGAAGGCCUUAGGGUUGUAAAGCUCUUUUACCAGGGACGAUAAUGACGGUACCUGGAGAAUAAGCCCCGGCAAACUUCGUGCCAGCAGCAGCCGCUGU